RNAcentral lists this ribosomal RNA (484 nucleotides) under uncultured bacterium. RNAcentral describes it as "partial 16S ribosomal RNA". It matches the Rfam family "Bacterial small subunit ribosomal RNA", at positions 30 to 507 of the family's 1533-position model. The record is from RNAcentral.
AUUGAACGCUGGCGGCAUGCUUUACACAUGCAAGUCGAACGGCAGCGCGGGCUUCUUCCUGGCGUCUAGUUGCGUACCCGUCAGUAAUACAUCGGCUCCUGCCCUUUUUUUGCGGAUAGCUCUGCGUCAGCCGCAUUAAUACCGCAUACGACCUCAGGUUGUAAGCCGGGGAUCUUCGGUUCUCUCGCUAUUUCCUCUGCCGUUGGCAGAUUACCUAGUUGGUGGGGUAAAGUCCUACCAAGGCGACCAUCUGUAGCUGAUGUGAGAGGAUGACACGCCACAGUGGGAAUGAGGCACGGCCCAGACUGCGACGGGAGGCAGCAGAGGGGAAUUUUGGACAAUGGGCGAAAGCCUGAGACAGCAAUGCAGCGUGUGAGAUGAAGGCAUAAGGGUUGGAAAGCAAUUAGGGCGGGAACGAAAAGGAAUGUGCCAAUACCACGGUUCGAUGACGGUACCCGCAGAAAAAGCACCGGCUAACUACGUG